UUAGAGUUUGAUUCUGGCUCAGGAUGAACGCUAGCGGCAGGCUUAACACAUGCAAGUCGAGGGGCAGCGCGGGGCGGCAACGUCCUGGCGGCGACCGGCGGAAGGGUGCGUAACGCGUGAGCGACAUGCCCGUUGCCCGGGGACAACCGGUGGAAACCGCCGACUAAUCCCCGAUGGGAUACGAUGCUUCAUGGCAUUGUAUUGAAAGUUACGGCGGCGACGGAUUGGCUCGCGUCCGAUUAGCUUGUUGGCGGGGUAACGGCCCACCAAGGCUGCGAUCGGUAGGGGUUCUGAGAGGAAGGCCCCCCACAAUGGGACUGAGACACGGCCCAUACUCCUACGGGAGGCAGCAGUGAGGAAUAUUGGUCAAUGGGCGGAAGCCUGAACCAGCCAUGCCGCGUGCGGGAAGGAGGCCCUAUGGGCUGUGAACCGCUUUUGCCUGGGGGCAAUAAGGGCGUCGCGCACGUCCGAUGAGAGUACCAGGCGAAUAAGCAUCGGCUAACUCCGUGCCAGCAGCCGCGGUAAUACGGGGGAUGCGAGCGUUAUCCGGAUUCAUUGGGUUUAAAGGGUGCGUAGGCUGUGCGUCAAGUCGGGGGUGAAAUUCCGGUGCUCAACACCGGGGCUGCCCUUGAUACUGUCGCGCUGGAGUGCGGAUGCCGCCGGAGGAAUGAGUGGUGUAGCGGUGAAAUGCUUAGAUAUCACUCAGAACACCGAUUGCGAAGGCAUCUGGCGAAUCCGUAACUGACGCUGAGGCACGAAAGCGUGGGGAUAGAACAGGAUUAGAUACCCUGGUAUUCCACGCCGUAAAC
Molecule: ribosomal RNA, 809 nt
Filed under: uncultured bacterium
Lineage: Bacteria
Description: bacterial SSU rRNA
Rfam family: Bacterial small subunit ribosomal RNA
Source: RNAcentral